GACGCAUAUUUUAGUCAAUAAUAUAACAGAGAUGCGUCUUUUCUCUGAGAAGACAGACGCACGCGUAUUCUCUCCUCCCAAGGAACAGCGUAUAAUCCCAUCAUAUUUUCCGAAAAAGAGAGCUAUCAACGCUCCCCUCCCCUUCUCUCUUCCUCUCUCCUCCACCACCCCCCAAAGUCUAAACCCUAGCUGACAAACUCCAACAACCCCUGCGCAACCCUUCGCCCCACCCCGAAAAUCUACCGAAUCCACUGUUACUGCAAAAACGAGCACUGUUUUGGUACGGAAAAGUCAGGAUGUGGUCAAAUCCGCCAUUGAUGGCUUCCAAGUUGGACGUUUUUCAGAAGUUUGGGGGUUCAAGUUUUGAAUUUCCCCCAUGUUUUCUUAAAUUUGGUUCAAAUUCGGACUUUGAAGUCCGAAUUUUGUCCUAUAAAUAGCCGAACGAAAAGGUUUGUAGAGGCAGAUUUAGGGUAUCGAGGAGAAAGAAAAAUCGAGAGAGGAAAAGAGAGUUUGAAGAAGAGUGAAAACAAAAAGGAAAUCAGAGAGAAAUUGAGUUCACGAAGUAAGAAAUUCGCCUUAAAAGUCUUAAAAUUGUUGUUUUCUUUUCUUUGGUCUAAGUUUGGAGUUCCGAAGUUGAAUUUGUAGUCAAUUUCCUCGACGGAGAGCCUCGGUUUUGCUGCCCUCGAAAAGAUUUUAAAAAUCUUCAAAACACAAGGUAUAUAUGUGUUAAGUCACCACAUACGAGGUUCAGACGCUCAGUUCCUGACCGUGCUUAGAGACCUACCAGAUUAUCAGCUGUAGCAGUGGUGAGUCCUCAUGUUUCGAGGAUAAUGGUUUAUUUCUCCCAGUUUACCUUAUCAGUUCAGUAUCUUUUAGUCAGUUGGAGUUAGUUGGGGUAUUUUCCCAUCAACUAAACAGUCAGUCAGUAGAGGUUUUUCAGACUAGUUCAGAUAGUUAGUCAGUUUUCAGAGUUUAUUACCAGUUGUUUUUAUCAGUAUUGUUAGUAUUAUUUUACGGACAUUAUAAAAGUUGCGAUUUAAACCUUAUGGCAUUUCAGUAACUUUCCGCACAUGUCUUGUGUUAUUAGUUUAUAUUUAGUGCUAGAGCAGGUGUAACGACCUAAAAAUUUAAUGAAAUAUGUGAAAUUUGUGAUUUUAUAUGAUUUGACUGUUUUACCCCUUUUCGUAGUUGCAUUAUGAUAUUUCUGGGGUGUGGGAGUGAUUGACAUGAUUUUUGAUGCAUUUUGAUAUCAUUUAUGCAAUAUUGUGAUUUUUGAUGGCUUUGAGAGCCUUAUUUUGGACUUAUGUGGAUAUCUUUUAAUUCGUGCGAUGAAUGACCAAACGGACUAUGCCAGCAGCUCUGAAAUAUCGAUUUUAGGCUAGGUAGACCUUUUGUUCAGGUUUUGGUGCACCUGAGCUCAUUUUAACCUAUUGAUCAAAAAGUUGGAAAAAUUGAAAAUAUGGGUGAGAGACCCACAUUUGGU
Long non-coding RNA from Capsicum annuum, 1483 nucleotides. RefSeq lists it as uncharacterized. Lineage: Eukaryota; Viridiplantae; Streptophyta; Magnoliopsida; Solanales; Solanaceae. The transcript is spliced from 3 exons. The record is from RefSeq and is a predicted model, not a curated record.